This is a non-coding RNA of Coturnix japonica (Japanese quail), 4889 nucleotides long. The record is from RefSeq and is a predicted model, not a curated record. NCBI's taxonomy places the organism in Eukaryota, Metazoa, Chordata, Aves, Galliformes, Phasianidae.
UUUCGUUUGUUUUUCUUUACUGACAGUAAAGAUGCAAAUACAGUGGUCCCAGUGAUCACUUUAGGCCUGCUUUUCUGCCCUCCUUUGCAAACCAUUAAAUGGCAGAGGAAAAUGUCUUUUGGGAGCCAGAAGUGCAGCUGGAGAAGAGGGGAACUGUCAGUGCAGUUUUACAUAGCCGGAUUCUCACCUCCAGACCAAGGCUUGAUUCAGUCCUUCAUCAUGACACUUCUAGAUGCAAUGUUAUCACCUUUAUUGCAACUGGAAAGGCCAGUAACUUCUCAGAUAUGCAGCCCACAUUUCUCCUAGAAGCCAUCUCUUCAUUACAAGCAUGAGACUUCCAGACCCAGAGCAGUUGGAAGCCAGAUAAUGUGAUCAAGGUAAAAAAAAAAAGUAUUGAUUGAAAUCUGUGGUAAUUCCAUGCAUGUACUUCUCAGAUGGUCUAUACUUCUCAAAUUCUUGCUGUAAUUCUUUCUGAAAUAUGCUAAAUAAGGACUACCUCUUAAUUAUCUAGAUAUACUGAUGACAGCUGACUGCCAUAAUCUCAUACACAUAACUCUUACCGUGAGAACUAUGUAUCAGUUUUAAAGGUAACUGCUUUCUGUAACCAAACAUAUGGUGCAGCAUCUGCAAACUAAUCUACACUGUAAGCAUCUGUCAAGUGAGGACUUUCGCACCUGUUCUAAAGUCUUACUUUUUUGAUAUGCCAAGGCCUGUCUUUACUGCCAGCCCCUUUCACUUAUUGCCGUGCUUCAGUGUGGUUUGUUAAAACAAAUAUUGAUCUUAAUUUUGGUAGAUCUUGAAAAUAAUGAAAAUGUGGAGUUCUUUCUCCUGUGACAUUCUUCACUGAGAGAUGGCAGAAAAAAGUAGUAUAAGCACUGAACAAUAAGGCUCUUUUUCCUUCUAUUCAGAAGUUCUGUUUUGGAAGUUUAGUUAAAUAGGAACAAGUAAAAUUUUUUGGCUCUACAGUAAAUCUUAAUAUAUAUGGUAGAAAUGAACUACUAAUAAUGGAGCUCUACUUCAAAUUUAUGCAGCUUCAUAGUUUACAACUGAAAUUGCUCCAGUUAGAAAUGUCCAAUUUUAGGAAGCUGAGCAGUAUACAGUCAUAUUUAUUUUUAAGAAGAAAAGAUCAAUUAACAAUCUUUAAUUUAAAAAUAUUCUAUUAGGAACUGCUCUUUCUCCCACUUAAAUAAUCUUUCAGGUUAUAAGAAAAGAGGAGCAUAAUCUGUCAGUUGUCGAUUUUCCUAUCUGUAAUACUAGUUUUGUGCUGAUUUUUUUCCUUCCACCAUCUUCCCUUGUACUCCUUGAUGCAUUUGCUGCCUACUCCAUUCUAAAAUUAUUAUUAGAACAAACCAUUUUCAUUGUAAUAUCUCUUAAAAGAUCUUAAAGAAUCAGGCAGCUUUGAGGGCUGGUGAAGAUACAAGGUAAACUUAUCACAUUCCUAAUCAAAGCACUUUUUUAUUACCUAGUGUAAACUAUGCCAAUUUUGCAUGGCGAUGGAAGAUCAUUCUAUGUAGAACUUCCUAAAGAAAUAGUUUGGUUAUUGGAGUGUGGUUUUAUGCUUUGAGAACCUCGUAGAGUAGCUGACUUGAGAGUUUUAAAAACCACUUACAGACCUUAGAAGCCUAUUUGAAAGGAGGUCAGAAAUGCCAGAUUUGAGCUCACUGGUAAGUUCAGCUGUAACGCUCUGUAACUGUGUGCUUAUACGAAUGCAGUGUACGCAGCCUACUGAUAUCCAUUAUUUACUAGAAAAGGUAGAAAGUACAAAGUAUAUCUGGGAGCUUCUCUACUAUGUGGCAAUGAAUAGAAAUUCCUCGAUUUAUUAUUUUUGUCAGUAGUUAAGCCUGAUCUUCACUAAGGAUGCUUUGCAGCCAACACUGCAUUUUAAAAGUAGAUCAGCACCUAUAAACAGCGUAAACUGAAAACUGUAGCAAGAAAAUCUGUUUACAGUACAAAAUGCUAUUAACAGUUUCUGAAGUUACAUUGUUUUAUAUCUUCACAGUUUUCUCAUUUAUUACAGUGAGAAACCUUGUGCUGAAUGCGAGAAUAAGACUAGAAUGAUUGAUACCUCUGUUCUUUGAUGUGAGAUCGCAAAAGUGUUACGUUUUAGGUACAGCAGUUGGCUGCUUCUGACAUCUGUAACUUCCUGGCUCUUCACCAGAGGAAAUUGUUUUCAGUCGAAAUGCUCAGCUGUUCUGAACCUAAUCUACCUUGAGACUUAGUUAUGAACAUUGGUGAUGUAAAUACCAUGCAGCCACCAGCUGUAAGUGGGAUGUGAAAAACACUGAUACAGAAAUCAUUGAGAGAGAGCAAAAGAAACACACGCAGAUAGGAAAAAAAUAUAAAUAAAUAAAUUCAAAACCUGCUGGCCAUCCGUGAAAUUUUCUUCCUGUUGUUCAGCUGAUGUGCAUCUGUAUUGAGCUCAGUGCUUAAGGACAUACAAGCAGAUUCUGUACUUAAGCUUGAAGGCAUUCUGAAGAACUUUUCAAGGCUAUAAGAUUAAAAAUAAUUUUCUGCAGGUAGAAGAUAGAAAAAUAUGGAAGUGCUUCUGUUACAGGAGUUGAAUAUUUCUUCUAGAUAGCAGUACUCAGUUUCUAGAGAAACCGUAAUGAUUAUCCUUUUUAUUUUCUUACUUGUUUGUAAUGUGGUCAAGAAAUCAAGCCUGGAGAGCAGCCUAAGUAGAUAAUAGAUGACACUUGUAUAUUUCCAAAUAAUAGAAAAUAGGGAGGGAACUCUAUUUUGUUGCUGUUGUUUCCAGAACAAAAAUGUUAAUGAAGAGUAUUUUCUUUGGGACUCUGCCAGUUUCAAUAAAUUAUUGUUUGAAUUUAGCUGCUGCCUGGAGAUAUUUGAUAGCUCAUAAUAUUUCAGCAUUAAAUAACACUUUAAAAAUCUAACCAAGAAAGUAGUGUGGCGUUAUCCCACAGCAAAUGCGAUGUGUUGAUCUUCUAACUGCUGCUUGAAUGCAUUAACAUUAAUCUCUCUUGUUUCUUUCAGAAGUGGGGAUCCUUUUAACAGGAUACAAAGUCUGACUCUCAUUCUGUAGCUUAUCUGUAAAAUUCAGAUAAUUAAUAUCACUUUACAGAACAAUGCUGAUCAGUACAUAGGCUCAUUCACUGUGUGUAUUUACUGAGUUAAUUCAGAGCUGAAAAUGAAGUUUAUGGCAAAAUAAAACAGUUCUAUAUUUAGAAAGUAGAAGUCAUCUCUUUUAAUGAGCUGAUAAAAUUUUAACAAGUUUAUGUCCCUUUAAUUGUUUGUAGGAUCUUAACAAUGCCUACUUACAUAGUUGUCAGAAUGAAAAUUACUGAACUAAAUAAUAAGUAAGGUAACAAAUCUUAGAUUAACAUGAAAGGACAAACUCUGCUCUGUCCAAAGGCUAAAGGGUAACUUUUUUCCCCAUCCUAUUGAAUGACAUUGAUAUUUUACUGGAAAGGCUUUUAUUGUCUUCAUGAAGUUAAGCAUUUGAUAUUCAUAACUACCUGAAAUAAUCCCAUCACUAAAUAGAAUCGGCACUUUCCUUCCAGAUUCACAUAGCUUGAUGCAACACUUGUUUGUAUUCAAAAAUUAUCAUGAAAUCAUUUUUAAGUAUUUUAUUUUCUGGAUGGUUUCCUAAGUUGCUCUGGCUAAUCGCACAAAAGUGGUGUCUGGAAUUCCCACUAGAAGCUACCCUCUAUUAAUAAAGAGAUGAAAAAUAGUCCUAAAUGUCAUGCUUUCUUUUUCCCUGGUACAGCUCAAACAAUAGAUAAUACGGCAUGAAUCACAUGAAAGACUGUUAUGGAAGAAUAAGUAGGUAUGCUCUGCCAAACAAAUCACAGUGGGCACUUCAAGCAAAUUUAACAAGUAGGUGGAAUAAAUAUGGUGCCAUAUCAUCAAUAUUUGAUGAGACCACAAGCCCUUACAUACUACUUCAUAAAUUUUUAAGUGUGUGCAAUUUUCCACUCCAAUAAUUUAAAAUGAAAAAUGUUUCACCUUUAGAGGAAAUUAGUUAAAGCACUGAAAAAAAAACGUUGUAAAAAUGAUAAAAAUAAAAAGAUCUAUUUGAAUAUAAAACCAAUUAACAACAUAACAUUGUGAAGGGCUUGAAGUAGAAAAGUAUAUAUGCAAUUAAGAAGUGCAAAUUCCCUUGACUCAACUAAGACUUCUGAAAUUGCAUUGAUGUUUUAGGAAAUGCUUCCCAGUGAUAACAAAAUGUAUUUAAGUAGAAGUUCUGAAAAUACUGAAAAUACAGAGGUCCUGAAAAUACAAAGCACUUUGAGACUUUCACCAAUUUCAUGGAAUAGAAUGCAGUGAAAAGCAAGCUGGAAUGGCUGGCUGGUGACUCCAAUAUUGUGAGAUUUUUAUGUAUUUCCAACCUCAACAUUUACAUUGGAAACAGACUGUGAUAUAAAAAGUUUAUUCUCCUUGGUGGAAGUUAUUUGUUUUAUAAAUUAAUAAGUGAAGAGACUGUAAUCACUUUCCAUUUACUAAUGCAAUAAAUUUUUAUAAGAAAGAAAUUAGAUAUUAUAUUGCAGAUUUGAUUUUUCUGUUUAAGAGAAAGUAAGGAUUGUUUUAAGACAGGGAGCAUCUUACAUCUAGUAAAAGCUUACAAGUGAUACUUUAAAAUCCUGUCCCAAUAAAAUUUAUUGCUUAGAUUUUAUUUUUUUGAAGGAUAAUUUUCCUGCUCUGUGGUAGAACUAAUAAUUAAAAGUUUGACAUAGGUAUGAAAUAUUCAUUUAACUGUAUCAACUAAUGCAAUGCAAGGAUUGAGAAACAGCUCUGAAGUUUGUCUGAGUACAUACUAUUACAUUAAAGUGCUAAAUUGAGCUUUCAUUUUCUGUCCAAACUACUGUCAUGGUUUUAUGAUUUUUGGUUACUGGUAUUCCAUAUCAUAACAUCAUGUAAUGCAUUGGGUGUUA